AAGUGUCCCCACAGCCCUAGCUGCUAUUUGAUAUUCUCCCUCUUUGCUAUUAAGAUUUUUUAAACUGGAGCAUUUCCUCUUUUUCCCUGGUCUUUUUUUUUUUUUUUUUUUCAAGGAAAGUUUAGGACAGCAGGAAAACUGCUGAGCUGAGACACAACGUAAAGCUGACGCUGCACAUGCCUCAUGGUUUUCUAUUUUCAUUCCGGCACGGUUGUGGCUGGAAACCAGCUUUUAGGAUCCCUGGUGGACCCGUGUCCCUGGUGUUUCAAAACACUCCACUUUAGACACUAUUCAGAGAGGUGUGAGGCCACUGACUCCGUUUCCUCAUCUACAUCACGUAGCUUUAGGGAAGUGACCAAAAUAGGUGUUUGAGGAAAGGGGGGUGGAGAGGGGACAAGGGGAGUGUUCAGAGACGGGAUUCCGCCCACCCACAAACCCACACACCCACACCCACACCCACACCCACACACACACACACACACACACACGUGGGGGCCUGUGGGGAAUGUUCUGGGGGUGGGAGGCUGACUGCAAACACUGACUACAUUUGUGCCUGUGACUUUUGUACACACACUGCAUCACCACACACUUGAGGACACGUCUCUGAAAAAUGCUGACACAUGCGUUACAAGAAUGUUAUUUACUCUAUGAUGGUUUGGGUUCUGUUGCGGGCUUUGGGGGGGGUUGGGGGUUUUUUGGUUUUUUUCUGUUUGUUUUUGUUUGUGUUUCAGGGCUGCACCUGCAGCAUUGGGAAGUUCCCAGCUUAAGGGUCAAAUCGGAGCUGCAGCUGCCGGUCUACGCCACAGCCAGAGCCACAUCAACGCAGGAUCUGAGCUGUGAUGCAACCUACACCACAGCUCACGGCAACGCCAGAUCCUUAACCCACUGAGCAGGGUCCCGCAUCCUCAUGGAUACUAGUUGGGUUUGUUACCACUGAGCCACAAUGGGAACUCCCUCUUGUGUUUUGUUUCAGAUUUUCUUAGCUUUCUUCCUCAAAUACAGUUGAUGACUUAUUUUCACAUUUUUUUACUGCCAACAGGAUGGAUGGACACGAGUCAUUUUGCUGGAAGGCGGAACUGACUCCCUGUACCCAAGCUGCUCAAAUCCUGCCUCUGGGAGCAAAGGCUGCUCACACAUACUUCAGGGGACCAGGAAGAGCUCGAGCCAACCCUUAAAUCCUGCCCAUCACCCCACUCCACUGUCCCCGUCAAAGGGGCCACUUCUCAAAGAGCCAAGCCAACCCGCAGGCUGGGAAUAACUCUUUGAUCUGGACAGAAACCCACAUGCAAAGGAAGCAGAGACACUUUGUCCGUGGAGGGAGCCAGCUGCAUCUAAGCACACCGCCUUUCCUGGUGGAGAUUUAUUUUUCCCAGCACGAUGUUAAACCCACAGCUUCCAAGAGCAGGACACUGCUGUCAGGGCAUCACAGCCCCUCGAUGCCGCCACGGCCACAGCCUCCUGAAGUCAUCAAAGUCGCCUCCAGGCCUGAUGACAGGGCAACCCCCCCCCCCCGCCCCGUCUAGGGAGGCACAGUCUUCCCCUCCCUCCCCACAUGACAACUCCGUUAUUUCAAAGGCAUUUUACCUGCUAUAACUUUUCUCCUUAGAGUCUUUUAGAAGGAAAUGGAUCGGCUUCCACACAAUGGGGAAAGAGCCACGGAAUUGACAGGAGACAAGGGCUCAGAUUUUGAACUGGCUUCUUAGAAGCCACAUCCCUUUACUCAAGUCAUGGUCUGAGUCGCAGUUUCAGAAAGCGGGGGGACGGGAACAUCUUUUUCAGGGGGCAGAAAGCCAGGAGAAAUUUAAAUGAGAUCAUACAGAAAGUACCUAGCACAUACUGAGUGCUUACUAAGCUUCACCCAUAAAACAAUGACCAUGUUCGAUUAACACCUGUUGAAGGGUGUGACCGUUCCAUGAGAAAGGCCACCAGGAACAUUGUGAACCCAAUACGGUCUUUCUCAGAGCGGACUGGGUAGUAGCCAAAGUGACCGCCAUCCGUGUAAAGGUAUCAGACUGUAACUGCAACCGCUCCAUACCAUGACAGGUGUAACUGUAACUACACCAACCAGAUGACACCAGAACUUUACAACGUACCUGUAAAGCUGUUACAUGCAUAGGUGUUAAUUGCCACAGCAUUUAUAACAGAGAAACACCAGAAAUACCAUAAACGUUCACAAGAGUACGUCUGUGCCACGAGCUAUGCUGCUGUUAAAAAACAGUCUGUUAGCGCUGACAAAAAUCUGAGUGACAUAGUGGUAAAGCUUUCAUUAAAACUACAGAGAAAUAGGUAAAGAAUGCUACAAUUCAUUCACUCCCUAAACCAGGGCGUGGACGUACAUAACUCUAUAGAAAAAGGACUGGGCACAUAAUUUAACUGUAGAGCGUUCUUACCUAGGGUGGGGGUGGUUGAUGCCAGCGCGGGAUCCGGGAGAUGGCCACGUAACUGUGUCGCCACAUGAACCCUCUUAGCACACAAGUGGACUUUACGUUUUACUUACAAAAUGGAAACAGUUUUUAUUUGCAUAAUUAAAUACUAAGAACAUAUGCCACUCUGGAUCCUCUAAAUAACUCUGAUUAAAGUCGAGGCUGGUUGAUGAGUUUUGUGCUCCAGAUGUCUCUGUUUUGUGACAGCCUCAGAAGGGGUCCCAAACAACCCACCGCUCAAUGUCCAAGCAGCAGAGAAGCCUGGUCUCCUCCACUAGCACAACAGCCUCUCCUUUAUUUGAGGACUUGGGCCCAGCUCCUUCCUUCUCUGUGGUCAGUGACUUGGGGUCCUGUCUGGGCUCAGAAGGAUGCUGUCCUGAAAAGACCCGACUUUGACUCCUGGCUCUGCCGGGGACCAACUGAGACUUUGCCUCGGUUUUCUCCUUUGUAAAACAGGGGCGUGUCUACACUUUGCAGGGCUGUCAAGAGGAUCAGACGACACACACGACGUGCUCAGCAAAUGGCAGCUUUUAUCAUUACUACGAUUAACCAGCAAUUCCUGGACUCAGGAUCAAUUCUCAUCUGGUAACCGAGAGCCUGUUAUCUGAUGAUUUUGAAAGCUCUAAUAUUCUAUGAACAUGUGCUGAAGAAGAAAGUGGGCAAGCACAUGCUGACAAGUGCAGCUGGGUGGCCGGGACCAAACUGCUCAGACAGCCACCUCAGCAGGGCCUGGGUAAUGGUGGCACUUGUGUGACGGUUCCCACUCGGGGGAAGAGGAGGGGAGGGUAAAAGGCUUUUUCUCCAGCCCAGAAGACUUGGAAUUUGGAGACGUCACAGACAGAUAGACAGACACCUUCAUAUUCUUCUACUGCCAAAUAAAAAAACAUCCCCUAGUGCCUAUUGUAGGCUGGGAACAGCUUACGAAAUAGGAGACCUUCGUGCGACCUUCCCAAACACAGCCGUCGCUUUCCAGCCUCUCCUCUUUGGGGCAGAAGUUGAAGUCAAAUUCCUCUCGAACCCAGGCAUCACAAUACCUCUGCACACCUAAGUCUAUCCUUUGAGGCUCAGCAGAGCUUCCACCUCCCUUAUUAACCUUCCCAAAUUCUCCUCAUUAAAAGUCAUCUCUCAGAGGUCCGGUCGUGGCUCAGGGGAAACGAACCUGACUCGCAUCCAUGAGGACACAGGCUUGAUCCCUGGCCUCGCUCAGUGGGUUAAGAAUCUGGUGUUGCUGUGAGCUGUGGUUAGACUGCAGAUGUGGCUCGGAUCUGGCGUUGCUGUGGCUGUGGUGUAGGCCAGUGGCUCCAAUGCGACCCCUAGCCUGGGAACUUCCAUAUGCCAUGGGUGCAGCCCUAAAAAGAUUUUUUAAAACUCACCUUUUGGUUUUGGUUUUGUACAUUACCAUUCUGUGUACCUGCUUUUCUUCCCUCACAGGGCCAUAAACCCUCCUGGAAACCAAAUCAUGUAUAAUUGUCACCCUUCCACAAACAUUUAUUGAGCAUCUAGCUAGAUGAUAAGUAAUGCAAGGCCUUGGGAUACAUAAAUAAUAACGCCUCCGUUAUCAAGGAGCCCACGGUCUAACGGGAAAGACGGGCGAGUGAAGAGUUUCAAUAGCCAAGGCGCUACGGGAGCACAGGACGGGCCUCCCCAGCCUACCUGAGUAAGGAGAUGGGGAUAGGGUCCCAAAAGGCUUCCUUGCAGGGGAGGUCUCAGCUGAAGUGAUCCCAGCAGAAAGGACAGGAAAGGACAAACCUGUAUUAAAAUCAAUAUACCUGUACUAUGGAACUGGUAGCAGUCUCUCUUAAACAUACACUAACCAUGCAACCGAGCAAUUGCUCUCGUAGGUAUUUCUCCAAGAGCAAUGAGAACACAUGAGCACCAAAAAGACAUGUCUGCAAAUGCUCAUAACCACCUUGCCCACAAUAUUCAAAGGAAACCACCCAAGUGUCUGUCGACGAUGAACGAAUACACAUGCUGAGGGGUGUCCAUCCCAUGAAAACGCUGGGCAUCAUAGAGGAACAAACCACUGAUACACAGGCGACGUGGUGGUCAUCGCCCAGAGACACUCUGCGGAGCAAAAGAAGCCAGGCUCGAACGAGUACGUGAAAUCUCGAAACAGGAGAAAAUAAUCUAUGGUGACGGAAAGCAGAUCAGUAAAAGCCUGGGCCUGGGGAUCUUGACUCUAAAAGGGCAUAAGAGAAUUGAGACGGUGGGGGAGAAGGGAGCAAAAGGCAUGUCCAUCUUUUAUUUAUUUUUGCCUUUUCUAGGGCCGCACCCGUGGCAUAUGGAGAUUCCCAGGCCAGGGCUCUGUGACGUACUGGCUAUGUAAGAGUUACCCAAUAUUCUUAUUAGUAUUAGCGUUAGCGUCAGUAUUUACAUUCCAGGCACCAGGAACAGUACAAGCAAAGACCUAGAGGUUAGAAACAACGCAGACCAGUGAAGGGAACUACAAAACGAUUUAGCGUCUUCAGAACAUGAAUGAAGAGGAAAGACAUGAAAGAGACGAGGUCAGAAAGGCUGAGAUGGUUCCAGGUAACCCAGCUCAAUGUCUUUACACUUCACAGAGAGCUUCUGACACAUCCAAUUAAGUGGCUUUUUUCUUCUUUUUUUUUUUAAUGA
Molecule: long non-coding RNA, 5039 nt
Filed under: Sus scrofa (pig)
Lineage: Eukaryota; Metazoa; Chordata; Mammalia; Artiodactyla; Suidae
Description: lncRNA (ENSSSCG00040028814.1)
Source: RNAcentral